RNAcentral lists this ribosomal RNA (200 nucleotides) under uncultured prokaryote. RNAcentral's name for it is "partial 16S ribosomal RNA". It matches the Rfam family "Bacterial small subunit ribosomal RNA", at positions 1184 to 1382 of the family's 1533-position model. The record is from RNAcentral.
GUCAAAUCAUCAUGCUUCUUACGUCUAGGGCCACAGGCGUGCUACAAUGGCUGGUACAACGAGUCGCAACACGGUGACGUGAAGCCAAAUCUCUUAAAGCCAGUCUCAGUCCAGAUUGGAGUCUGCAAUUCGACUCCAUGAAGUUGGAAUCGCUAGUAAUCCCGAAUCAGAAUGUCGGGGUGAAUACGUUCCCAGGUGUU